RNAcentral lists this long non-coding RNA (222 nucleotides) under Sorghum bicolor (sorghum). RNAcentral describes it as "long non-coding RNA (SBIC_LNC005422)". The record is from RNAcentral. Lineage: Eukaryota; Viridiplantae; Streptophyta; Magnoliopsida; Poales; Poaceae.
AAUAUCCAUGAUAACAAAUUUGUACCAUUCAAUUUGUCACGUAAUAUAGUUUUAUAAUAUACCUUUUCUAUGCCAUAAAUAUUAAUAAUUUUCUCUAUUAACUUAAUCAAAUUUGUAACUAUUUGGUUGGCUUUAAUUAAGCAUGCAAGUUUUUAUUACUUUUUGAACGGAGGGAUUAUGUCUUCCACCGAACUGCGAAUCAAAGUCGCAAAUGAGACUGCU